UCUUGUGUUCUGUUGUAGUUAUUGCAAUGUUACUUAAGCAUUUCCUUAAAUCGUAUCAUCACUAAUUAUCAAAUUCCUCUCUAUCUAGGUUCUUUGCAAUUGACCUGGGACUUGUAUUCCUCUAUGCAUAAUUGCAUUUUUAUUUUAGGUCAUGAAAAUAGAUGGUCAUCUGUUUUCUAUGUUGAGAGUACAGCAAAAGUAAAAAGACUUUCUUUAAGUGGCUUGCUUCUUUACAAGUUACGCAUAUCUGAUCAGUUCUUUGUGCAAUGACCACAAUUACAGAGAAAGUAUCCUCGAGCUCGUUAUGUUGGCUGUCUCAUGUAGUUUGAUUGAAUUCCUGCUGACAUGGUACUGUAACAUUUCUUCAAGUUUUUGCUGUGCCAAUCUACAUUUUUAAAGUUAUUACAAUUGCUCUAUAGUUGAUUCUCUAGUUAAGUUGUACACAAGUUAUACUGGUGAGAUCCAAAAGCCUUUUGUAGCUUUCACCAAAGAGGACAGGGGAGUCAGUUUACUGGUGUAAAUUUUUAUUUGCAUAAAGAGUGACACCCUUGAUUUUCAUACAAACAAUGCAGCCACCAUCUCGGCACUCCAGUUUCUUCUCCUCAGUCAAGCAGGUUGAGAAAAGAUUGACACUUGAACAUCAGACAGAACACCCCUCUCCUACACAACCAGUUCAAGAAAGCAACUCUAAGUUCAAAUCAUCAACAGAACCGCUUGGCUCCCGUAUAUAUCUCCAUUUAGACCAAACCCACAACAACUCAAAUCUCCAAGAAAGUGGCAACAGUGAAGCCCCACAAGUAUUUUUAUCUUUGUCUUCCAAAUUUCCACCUUCAACCCAACAAAGCCCUCCUCAGAUAAACCCAACAACGACCGAUGAUCAAGAAUCUAAUGAUGUUGAUGACAUAAAAAUAUUGAUGCAGCUUCUGGGUAUAUCCAAUCAUUUUGAAGAGAGAAAAGAAAAAG
Pistacia vera is the source of this 963-nucleotide long non-coding RNA. RefSeq lists it as uncharacterized. The record is from RefSeq and is a predicted model, not a curated record. The transcript is spliced from 3 exons. Lineage: Eukaryota; Viridiplantae; Streptophyta; Magnoliopsida; Sapindales; Anacardiaceae.